CAGGUUAACAUCCCCAGUGGACUGAUCGAUCUCACUUUCGAGUUGAGAAGCUUCUACAAUCAUACGAAUGUAUCUGAGUUUAACCCCUGCAGCUACGCCUUCAUUGCAGAGCAAGACCGGUUCAAUUUUAACUCUUCUAGUUUUGAACAACUGAAAGGCAUUGAACGGCUUCCAAUGGUUCUUAAUUGGGCCAUUGUGAAUGACACAGAUCCCUGCGAUGAGGCUCAGAACAGGAAGGGUUCCGCAUGCAAGGCUAAUAGCAAGUGCUUCAACCCAGCUAUCAAUGAGUCUGUAGGUUACUUGUGCCAGUGCUUGCCUGGUUAUGAAGGAAACCCGUACCACCCAGAUGGUUGCAAAGGUGAAAAAUUAUCUUUGAUUUACCUAUUCAGCUACUAUUAUAUCAAUAUAAAUUAAUUAAAGCUCUCACCAUUGGAAGUGCAAGUUUACCAAAUUUAGUGAUGUCUGAUACGCUUUUCCUUUCCUAAUUUCCCUUUCAGAUAUUGAUGAGUGCAAAGACCCAAAC
Molecule: long non-coding RNA, 523 nt
Filed under: Fragaria vesca (wild strawberry)
Lineage: Eukaryota; Viridiplantae; Streptophyta; Magnoliopsida; Rosales; Rosaceae
Description: long non-coding RNA (FVES_LNC001236)
Source: RNAcentral